GAAAUCAUACUAUACAGAAUCAUUUCUGUAGUGUGUGUUUCGCUGUCCCAACCAAAGGGCGACACCUGUCCACCGCGAUGAACGGGAGACGGGCGAGUUGCGAGCGGGAA
This 110-nucleotide small nucleolar RNA is filed under the name Nippostrongylus brasiliensis. RNAcentral's name for it is "Small nucleolar RNA U3". It matches the Rfam family "Small nucleolar RNA U3", at positions 1 to 115 of the family's 219-position model. Rfam says of the family: Small nucleolar RNAs (snoRNAs) are involved in the processing and modification of rRNA in the nucleolus. There are two main classes of snoRNAs: the box C/D class, and the box H/ACA class. Lineage: Eukaryota; Metazoa; Nematoda; Chromadorea; Rhabditida; Heligmosomidae. The record is from Rfam by way of RNAcentral.